CCUCCUUUAAAGAAACCGGAACAAGGCGUGAAAGCGCCCGCACAGUCUGCCUAAUCAUCGUAAAGAUAGACCGCGGGUCUGUAGCUCAGUUGGUUAGAGCGCACCCCUGAUAAGGGUGAGGUCGGAAGUUCAAAUCUUCCCAGACCCACCACCUUCGCGCUGGUAGCAGCAACAAGGAAACAAGGGGCCAUAGCUCAGAUGGGAGAGCACCUGCUUUGCAAGCAGGGGGUCGGCGGUUCGAUCCCGCCUGGCUCCACCAGGUGCUAAAACGGCGGCGGGCAAAUCACCGUCGCCGUUUAUCUCCUGGCCGAGGUGCCAAGGGGACGUUUCUUUUUACAAUUUAGGUAGUGAUAUACGACGGGUUGAAGUCAGGGAAAUUCCUUUUUGAACGUUCCAGAACUUUAACUUGGGUUUUGCCCAGCCUUUUUAUUAUGGUA
RNAcentral lists this transfer RNA (437 nucleotides) under uncultured Chromatiales bacterium. Its description in RNAcentral is "partial 16S-23S ribosomal RNA intergenic spacer". The stretch from base 75 to 148 matches the Rfam family "tRNA". The record is from RNAcentral. Lineage: Bacteria; Pseudomonadati; Pseudomonadota; Gammaproteobacteria; Chromatiales.